UACGUAGGGGGCAAGCGUUGUCCGGAUUUAUUGGGCGUAAAGAGCGUGUAGGCGGCCGCACAGGUCCGUUGUGAAAACUGGAGGCUUAACCUUCAGACGUCGAUGGAAACCGUGCGGCUAGAGUCCGGAAGAGGAGAGUGGAAUUCCUGGUGUAGCGGUGAAAUGCGCAGAUAUCAGGAAGAACACCCGUGGCGAAGGCGGCUCUCUGGGACGGUUCUGACGCUGAGGCGCGAAAGCGUGGGGAGCAAACAGG
This 253-nucleotide ribosomal RNA is filed under the name uncultured bacterium. Its description in RNAcentral is "partial 16S ribosomal RNA". It matches the Rfam family "Bacterial small subunit ribosomal RNA", at positions 524 to 776 of the family's 1533-position model. The record is from RNAcentral.